Long non-coding RNA from Zonotrichia leucophrys gambelii, 1030 nucleotides. RefSeq lists it as uncharacterized. NCBI's taxonomy places the organism in Eukaryota, Metazoa, Chordata, Aves, Passeriformes, Passerellidae. The record is from RefSeq and is a predicted model, not a curated record. The transcript has 3 exons.
UGGAAAACAACAAUGCUUUUAUCUUGAAAUUUACUACAAGAACACUAUAAAAGAAAGUACUUAAAUGGAAAAUAUGGAGGAUUAGAGACAAUUAAACUGCUUAUUGUAAAUUGCUCACAACUUCUGCCUUGUUUGGAAGAAUACAGUGUACCUAGAGCUGGAUGACUAGCUGUUCCUUGAGACUCAGUGCAUUUGGAUUCAAUGCUGCAUUUUUGCUGGAUACAGGAUGCAAACCUGAGGGAAGGGAUACAGGGAGGGCAUGGGGCUUUGGUCAGUUCAUCACCGAGAUUUUCUCCCGCCGCCCCGGUAGAGGAGCCAUCCCCUGUGAGGCCGUGGGUGCCGCCCACAGCAGGCAGCUCUCCAUGGGCUCCCACAGCAGGCAGCUCUCCAUGGACUCUCACAGCAGGCAGCUCUCUCUCCAUGGACUCCCACAGCAGACAGCUCUCCAUGGACUGCCCCGGCCUGGGUCCGCCCUCAGGAACAGCGCCCGAGCCGCCCCUGCUGCAGCGAGAGCUCCCUCAGGGCCGGCAGCGCUCCCAGAACUGCUCUGACCUGGGGCUCUGCCCUCGGUGCUGCCCGCUAAGGACAGGGGAGCGGGGCCCGAGGACGGGCUGCUGCAGCCGGGGAGCGGGGCCCCUCUCCCCAUGAUCUCCCCUGGAGCACAGCCUCCUCUAGGCACCAACACGCUCCGGCCUGGGCACAUUCCCAUGGGCUGCGGGUGGAUCUCAGCAUCCCCCAUGAAUCCCCACGGGCUGUGGGUGGAUCUUUGCAUCCCCAUGGAUCCCCAUAGGCUGUGGGUCGAUCUCUGCAUUCCCUGUGGAUCCCCGUGUGCUGUUGGCAGAUCUCUGCAUCCCCCAUGGAUCCCCAUGGGAUGUGGGUGGAUCUCUGCAUCCGCCAUGGAUCCCCACGGGCUGCAGGGGCACAGCUGCUUCACCUUGGGCUCACCACGGCCUGCAGAGGAAUCUCGGCUCCAGUGCAUAGUGCAGCUCCUCUGCCACCUCCUCCCCUGACCUUGGUGUCUUCAUGUUGU